GUGCCAGCCGCCGCGGUAAUACGUAGGGUGCAAGCGUUAAUCGGAAUUACUGGGCGUAAAGCGUGCGCAGGCGGUGAUGUAAGACAGAUGUGAAAUCCCCGGGCUCAACCUGGGAACUGCAUUUGUGACUGCAUCGCUGGAGUGCGGCAGAGGGGGAUGGAAUUCCGCGUGUAGCAGUGAAAUGCGUAGAUAUGCGGAGGACACCGAUGGCGAAGGCAAUCCCUGGGCCUGCACUGACGCUCAUGCACGAA
RNAcentral lists this ribosomal RNA (251 nucleotides) under uncultured Burkholderiales bacterium. RNAcentral's name for it is "partial 16S ribosomal RNA". It matches the Rfam family "Bacterial small subunit ribosomal RNA", at positions 505 to 757 of the family's 1533-position model. Lineage: Bacteria; Pseudomonadati; Pseudomonadota; Betaproteobacteria; Burkholderiales. The record is from RNAcentral.